AGCUCCAGUAGCGUAUAUUAAAAUUGUUGCAGUUAAAAAGCUCGUAGUUGGAUUUCUGGCUCGUUGCCCUAGCCCGCUUACUUCGGUGGGUGAGUGCUGGUGCAAUCUGCCAUCCUUCCAGAGAGCCGUGAGUACCAUUUACUUGGCCGCUCGCGUGCGAUCAGGAUCAUUUACUUUGAAAAAAUUAGGGUGUUUAAAGCAGGCUUACGCCUUGAAUACAUUAGCAUGGAAUAAUAACAUAGGACUUCGGUUCUAUUUUGUUGGUUUCUAGAACCUUAGUAAUGAUUGAUAGGGAUGGUUGGGGGUGCUAGUAUUCAGCGGCCAGAGGUGAAAUUCUUGGAUUCGCUGAAGACUAACUACUGCGAAAGCAUUCACCAAGGAUGUCUUCU
Molecule: ribosomal RNA, 389 nt
Filed under: uncultured eukaryote
Lineage: Eukaryota
Description: SSU rRNA
Rfam family: Eukaryotic small subunit ribosomal RNA
Source: RNAcentral